GAUGAAGAACGCAGUGAAAUGCGAUAAGUAGUGUGAAUUGCAGAAUUCAGUGAAUCAUCGAAUCUUUGAACGCACAUUGCGCCCUUUGGUAUUCCAAAGGGCAUGCCUGUUCGAGCGUCAUUUGUACCCUCAAGCUUUGCUUGGUGUUGGGCGUCUUGUCUCUCUCCCGAGACUCGCCUUAAAAUCAUUGGCAGCCGGCCUACUGGUUUCGGAGCGCAGCACAUUAUUUGCGCUCUUGUCCAGCCGCGGUCGCGCGUCCAUGAAGCUUCUUUCAAACUUUUGACCUCGGAUCAGGUAGGGAUACCCGCUGAACUUAAGCAUAUCAAUAAGCGGAGGA
This 337-nucleotide unclassified non-coding RNA is filed under the name soil metagenome. RNAcentral's name for it is "partial contains 5.8S ribosomal RNA, internal transcribed spacer 2, and large subunit ribosomal RNA". The stretch from base 1 to 120 matches the Rfam family "5.8S ribosomal RNA", at positions 35 to 154 of the family's 154-position model. The record is from RNAcentral.